RNAcentral lists this ribosomal RNA (745 nucleotides) under uncultured bacterium. RNAcentral describes it as "bacterial SSU rRNA". It matches the Rfam family "Bacterial small subunit ribosomal RNA", at positions 33 to 773 of the family's 1533-position model. The record is from RNAcentral.
ACGCUGGCGGCAGGCCUAACACAUGCAAGUCGAGCGGUAGAGAGAAGCUUGCUUCUCUUGAGAGCGGCGGACGGGUGAGUAAUGCCUAGGAAUCUGCCUGGUAGUGGGGGAUAACGUUCGGAAACGGACGCUAAUACCGCAUACGUCCUACGGGAGAAAGCAGGGGACCUUCGGGCCUUGCGCUAUCAGAUGAGCCUAGGUCGGAUUAGCUAGUUGGUGGGGUAAUGGCUCACCAAGGCGACGAUCCGUAACUGGUCUGAGAGGAUGAUCAGUCACACUGGAACUGAGACACGGUCCAGACUCCUACGGGAGGCAGCAGUGGGGAAUAUUGGACAAUGGGCGAAAGCCUGAUCCAGCCAUGCCGCCUGUGUGAAGAAGGUCUUCGGACUGUAAAGCACUUUAAGUUGGGAGGAAGGGCAGUUACCUAAUACGUGAUUGUUUUGACGUUACCGACAGAAUAAGCACCGGCUAACUCUGUGCCAGCAGCCGCGGUAAUACAGAGGGUGCAAGCGUUAAUCGGAAUUACUGGGCGUAAAGCGCGCGUAGGUGGUUCGUUAAGUUGGAUGUGAAAUCCCCGGGCUCAACCUGGGAACUCCAUUCAAAACUGACGAGCUAGAGUAUGGUAGAGGGUGGUGGAAUUUCCUGUGUAGCGGUGAAAUGCGUAGAUAUAGGAAGGAACGCCAGUGGCGAAGGCGACCACCUGGACUGAUACUGACACUGAGGUGCGAAAGCGUGGGGAGCAAAC